GAUGAACGCUGGCGGCGUGCCUAAUACAUGCAAGUCGAGCGAACGGACGAUAAGCUUGCUUUUCUGAUGUUAGCGGCGGACGGGUGAGUAACACGUGGAUAACCUACCUAUAAGACUGGGAGAACUUCGGGGAACCGGAGCUAAUACUGGAUAAUAUUUUGAACCGCAUGGUUCAAAAGUGAAAGACGGUCUUGCUGUCACUUAUAGAUGGAUCCGCGCUGCAUUAGCUAGUUGGUAAGGUAACGGCCUACCAAGGCAACGAUGCGUAGCCGACCUGAGAGGGUGAUCAGCCACACUGGAACUGAGACACGGUCCAGACUCCUACGGGAGGCAGCAGUAGGGAAUAUUCCGCAAUGGGCGAAAGCCUGACGGAGCCACACCGCGUGAGUGAUGAAGGUCUUCGGAUCGUAAAGCUCUGUUGUUAGGGAAGAAAAGAUGUGUAAGUAAAUCUCGCCAUCUUGACGGUACCUAAACAAAAAGCCACGGCUAACUACGUG
RNAcentral lists this ribosomal RNA (497 nucleotides) under uncultured bacterium. RNAcentral describes it as "partial 16S ribosomal RNA". It matches the Rfam family "Bacterial small subunit ribosomal RNA", at positions 28 to 507 of the family's 1533-position model. The record is from RNAcentral.